RNAcentral lists this ribosomal RNA (439 nucleotides) under uncultured bacterium. Its description in RNAcentral is "bacterial SSU rRNA". It matches the Rfam family "Bacterial small subunit ribosomal RNA", at positions 340 to 773 of the family's 1533-position model. The record is from RNAcentral.
UACGGAAGGCAGCAGGGAAUCUUCCGCAAUGGGCGAAAGCCUGACGGAGCAACGCCGCGUGAGUGAAGAAGGUCUUCGGAUCGUAAAACUCUGUUAUUAGGGAAGAACAAAUGUGUAAGUAACUAUGCACGUCUUGACGGUACCUAAUCAGAAAGCCACGGCUAACUACGUGCCAGCAGCCGCGGUAAUACGUAGGUGGCAAGCGUUAUCCGGAAUUAUUGGGCGUAAAGCGCGCGUAGGCGGUUUUUUAAGUCUGAUGUGAAAGCCCACGGCUCAACCGUGGAGGGUCAUUGGAAACUGGAAAACUUGAGUGCAGAAGAGGAAAGUGGAAUUCCAUGUGUAGCGGUGAAAUGCGCAGAGAUAUGGAGGAACACCAGUGGCGAAGGCGACUUUUCUGGUCUGUAACUGACGCUGAUGUGCGAAAGCGUGGGGAUCAAAC